UCGCAAUAGCGAUUGCAGCGGCAUCCUUUUUAAAAAAUGAAAUGCAUGAAGUUUAAUUUUGAAAUAGAAAUUGGCAGAUUGCUUCGUCGUGCCUCCUCGCAAUGACGUUUUUAAAAAGAUAUAGCGGAAAGCGCGGUGCUUU
RNAcentral lists this small RNA (142 nucleotides) under Mariniflexile fucanivorans. RNAcentral describes it as "Flavo-1". It matches the Rfam family "Flavo-1 RNA". The record is from RNAcentral. Lineage: Bacteria; Pseudomonadati; Bacteroidota; Flavobacteriia; Flavobacteriales; Flavobacteriaceae.